CAGUAGCCGCGGUAACACGAAGGGGGCUAGCGUUGUUCGGAUUUACUGGGCGUAAAGCGCACGUAGGCGGACUUUUAAGUCAGGGGUGAAAUCCCGGGGCUCAACCCCGGAACUGCCUUUGAUACUGGAAGUCUUGAGUAUGGUAGAGGUGAGUGGAAUUCCGAGUGUAGAGGUGAAAUUCGUAGAUAUUCGGAGGAACACCAGUGGCGAAGGCGGCUCACUGGACCAUUACUGACGCUGAGGUGCGAAAGCGUGGGGAGCAAACAGGAUUAGAUACCCCGGUAGUCCUGUCUCUUAUACA
Molecule: ribosomal RNA, 301 nt
Filed under: uncultured bacterium
Lineage: Bacteria
Description: partial 16S ribosomal RNA
Rfam family: Bacterial small subunit ribosomal RNA
Source: RNAcentral